Molecule: ribosomal RNA, 403 nt
Filed under: Crustacea environmental sample
Lineage: Eukaryota; Metazoa; Arthropoda
Description: partial small subunit ribosomal RNA
Rfam family: Eukaryotic small subunit ribosomal RNA
Source: RNAcentral
GCUUGUCUCAAAGAUUAAGCCAUGCAUGUCUAAGUAUAAACGAAUCUAUACUGUGAAACUGCGUACGGCUCAUUAAACCAGUUAUAGUUUAUUUGAUAUUCCCCUACUACUCGGAUACCCGUAGUAAUUCUUGAGCUAAUACAUGCGAAAAAUCUCGACUCACGGAGAGAUGCUUUUAUUAGAUCAAAACCAAACGGCUUCGGCCGUCUCAUUGGUGACUCUGAAUAACUUUGGGCUGAUCGUAUGGCCUUGUGCCGACGACGUUUCCUUCGAAGGUGUGCCCUAUCAACUGUCGACUGUGAUAUAGACGCUCACAGUGGUUUUGACGGGUAACGGGGAAUCAGGGUUCGAUUCCGGAGAGGGAGCCUUAAAAACGGCUACCACAUCCAAGGAAGGCAGCAGG